Molecule: ribosomal RNA, 484 nt
Filed under: uncultured bacterium
Lineage: Bacteria
Description: partial 16S ribosomal RNA
Rfam family: Bacterial small subunit ribosomal RNA
Source: RNAcentral
AUUGAACGCUGGCGGCAGGCCUAACACAUGCAAGUCGAGCGGAUGAGCGGAGCUUUCUCCUUGAUUUAGCGUCGGACGGGUGAGUAAUGCCUAGGAAUCUGCCUGGUAGUGGGGUAUAACGUUCCGAAAGGAACGCUAAUACCGCAUACGUCCUACUGGAGAAAGCAGGGGACCUUCGGGCCUUGCGCUAUCAGAUGAGCCUAGUUCGGAUUAGAUAGUUGGUUAGGUAAUGGCUCACCAAGGCGACGAUCCGUAACUGGUCUGAGAGGAUGAUCGGUCACACGGGAACGGAGACACGGUCCAGACUCCUGAGGGAGGCAGCAGUGGGGAAUAUUGGACAAUGGGCGAAAGCAUGAUACAGCCAUGCCGCGUGUGUGAAGAAGGUCUUCGGAUUGUAAAGCACUUUAAGUUGGGAGGAAGGGCAGUAAGCUAAUACCUUGCUGUUUUGACGUUACCGAGAGAAUAAGCACCGGCUAACUUCGUG